AACUAAUCAUCGCCCACCACCCUCCAACGAUCACCAACCAAAACCCCUCCACACGCCCGCCCGCGCGCGCCACGGACGCAGCAAUGGCCGCCCUCGCCGCCUCCAUCGCCACCUCCACGGCGUUCGCCGCGAAGCCGCGCCUGUCCCGCCCGCCGGCGCGCCUCUCCGUCUCCUGCUCCGCGUCCAGCGGCGACAACAACAACAGCACCGCCACCCCCUCGCUCUCCGCCUCCAUCAAGACCUUCUCGGCCGCGCUGGCGCUCUCCUCCGUGCUCCUCUCCUCCGCCGCCACCUCCCCGCCCCCCGCGGCUGCCGACAUCGCCGGCCUGACCCCGUGCAAGGAGUCCAAGGCCUUCGCCAAGCGGGAGAAGCAGUCGGUCAAGAAGCUCAACUCGUCGCUCAAGAAGUACGCGCCCGACUCCGCCCCGGCGCUCGCCAUCCAGGCCAC
Molecule: long non-coding RNA, 448 nt
Filed under: Hordeum vulgare
Lineage: Eukaryota; Viridiplantae; Streptophyta; Magnoliopsida; Poales; Poaceae
Description: long non-coding RNA (HVUL_LNC013953)
Source: RNAcentral